Echinococcus granulosus is the source of this 72-nucleotide non-coding RNA. The record is from Rfam. NCBI's taxonomy places the organism in Eukaryota, Metazoa, Platyhelminthes, Cestoda, Cyclophyllidea, Taeniidae.
GGCUCCGUAGUGCAACGGUGGCGCGUCUGACUCCAGAUCAGAAAAUUGCGUGUUCAAAUCACGUCGGGGUCA